GUUAGAGUAGGAAGACAAUGGGUUCCAUCCUGGCUACCAUUCAACCAUUUGGGAGCAAAGUGGAAGAACCAGACUCAUGAACUUGUAUCCUCUGGCAUGUUCUCCCUCUGCUAUGCAAGUCUCCCUUCCAAAUUUUUUUUUUUUUUUGUCUGUUUUCAUGCUGCUGAUAAAGACAUUCCUGAGACUGGGCAAUUUACACAGGAAAGAGGUUUAAUGGAGAACUCAC
Molecule: long non-coding RNA, 226 nt
Filed under: Homo sapiens (human)
Lineage: Eukaryota; Metazoa; Chordata; Mammalia; Primates; Hominidae
Description: non-protein coding lnc-GEMIN5-3:1
Source: RNAcentral